RNAcentral lists this ribosomal RNA (460 nucleotides) under uncultured bacterium. Its description in RNAcentral is "partial 16S ribosomal RNA". It matches the Rfam family "Bacterial small subunit ribosomal RNA", at positions 338 to 795 of the family's 1533-position model. The record is from RNAcentral.
CCUACGGGAGACAGCAGUGAGGAAUAUUGGUCAAUGGACGAGAGUCUGAACCAGCCAAGUAGCGUGAAGGAUGACUGCCCUAGGGGUUGUAAACUUCUUUUAUAUGGGAAUAAAAUGUUCCACGUGUGGGAUUUUGUAUGUACCAUAUGAAUAAGGAUCGGCUAACUCCGUGCCAGCAGCCGCGGUAAUACGGAGGAUCCGAGCGUUAUCCGGAUUUAUUGGGUUUAAAGGGAGCGUAGGUGGAUUGUUAAGUCAGUUGUGAAAGUUUGCGGCUCAACCGUAAAAUUGCAGUUGAAACUGGCAGUCUUGAGUACAGUAGAGGUGGGCGGAAUUCGUGGUGUAGCGGUGAAAUGCUUAGAUAUCACGAAGAACUCCGAUUGCGAAGGCAGUUCACUGGACUGCAACUGACACUGAGGCUCGAAAGUGUGGGUAUCAAACAGGAUUAGAUACCCGUGUAGUC